RNAcentral lists this long non-coding RNA (593 nucleotides) under Rattus norvegicus (Norway rat). Its description in RNAcentral is "long non-coding RNA NONRATT004138". Lineage: Eukaryota; Metazoa; Chordata; Mammalia; Rodentia; Muridae. The record is from RNAcentral.
AUCGUCUCAAAACAGGAUGGCUCACUCUGCACGUGCGCGGCUUCUCUUGCAUAUGUUAGUGAAUUUCCCUUGUCUUUUACAUUAUGCAUUUUCUUAAAAAAAUCCUACUAAAAUAAUGGGAAUAAAACAAACAAACAAAUAAAUAAUAAAGGAAAUAAAAACCACACCUUCCAGGCAAGCCUUGACAGUAGCUCGCUGCUACAGAGAGCUCUUACUGGGGACCCUGGUGCACACUCACCCAGGAGACGCAGCUGACCCGCCACACCACCGCGCACAGCGAAGAAGGCCCAGAGCGCCUGCGAGGUGUCCACGCACAGCAAGCGUCCCCGCGGGCGCCCGUUCACCGCCAGCAGGACGUCGCCGCCCGGUCGCAGCGUGAAGCUGAGUGCGUCGCCUCCGCUGGGCACGGGCCCGGCGCGCGCCACCACCCAGUAUUCCUUGCGGUCCAGCAGCGCAGCGGGAUCGGCGGGCAGCUCGGAUGGCCGCAGCGCGCCAGGAUCGCAGGACGUGAUGCCGAAGGCCACAGCUGCGGGCGCCGCCAGCCCCGGGCGCCCCACUUCCACGCACAGGCUCUCCCCGGGCCGCAGCGGCCG